CAGUCGAACGAACUCUGGUAUUGAUUGGUGCUUGCAUCAUGAUUUACAUUUGAGUGAGUGGCGAACUGGUGAGUAACACGUGGGAAACCUGCCCAGAAGCGGGGGAUAACACCUGGAAACAGAUGCUAAUACCGCAUAACAACUUGGACCGCAUGGUCCGAGCUUGAAAGAUGGCUUCGGCUAUCACUUUUGGAUGGUCCCGCGGCGUAUUAGCUAGAUGGUGGGGUAACGGCUCACCAUGGCAAUGAUACGUAGCCGACCUGAGAGGGUAAUCGGCCACAUUGGGACUGAGACACGGCCCAAACUCCUACGGGAGGCAGCAGUAGGGAAUCUUCCACAAUGGACGAAAGUCUGAUGGAGCAACGCCGCGUGAGUGAAGAAGGGUUUCGGCUCGUAAAACUCUGUUGUUAAAGAAGAACAUAUCUGAGAGUAACUGUUCAGGUAUUGACGGUAUUUAACCAGAAAGCCACGGCUAACUACGUGCCAGCAGCCGCGGUAAUACGUAGGUGGCAAGCGUUGUCCGGAUUUAUUGGGCGUAAAGCGAGCGCAGGCGGUUUUUUAAGUCUGAUGUGAAAGCCUUCGGCUCAACCGAAGAAGUGCAUCGGAAACUGGGAAACUUGAGUGCAGAAGAGGACAGUGGAACUCCAUGUGUAGCGGUGAAAUGCGUAGAUAUAUGGAAGAACACCAGUGGCGAAGGCGGCUGUCUGGUCUGUAACUGACGCUGAGGCUCGAAAGUAUGGGUAGCAAACAGGAUUAGAUACCCUGGUAGUCCAUACCGUAAACGAUGAAUGCUAAGUGUUGGAGGGUUUCCGCCCUUCAGUGCUGCAGCUAACGCAUUAAGCAUUCCGCCUGGGGAGUACGGCCGCAAGGCUGAAACUCAAAGGAAUUGACGGGGGCCCGCACAAGCGGUGGAGCAUGUGGUUUAAUUCGAAGCUACGCGAAGAACCUUACCAGGUCUUGACAUACUAUGCAAAUCUAAGAGAUUAGACGUUCCCUUCGGGGACAUGGAUACAGGUGGUGCAUGGUUGUCGUCAGCUCGUGUCGUGAGAUGUUGGGUUAAGUCCCGCAACGAGCGCAACCCUUAUUAUCAGUUGCCAGCAUUAAGUUGGGCACUCUGGUGAGACUGCCGGUGACAAACCGGAGGAAGGUGGGGAUGACGUCAAAUCAUCAUGCCCCUUAUGACCUGGGCUACACACGUGCUACAAUGGAUGGUACAACGAGUUGCGAACUCGCGAGAGUAAGCUAAUCUCUUAAAGCCAUUCUCAGUUCGGAUUGUAGGCUGCAACUCGCCUACAUGAAGUCGGAAUCGCUAGUAAUCGCGGAUCAGCAUGCCGCGGUGAAUACGUUCCCGGGCCUUGUACACACCGCCCGUCACACCAUGAGAGUUUGUAACACCCAAAGUCGGUGGGGUAACC
RNAcentral lists this ribosomal RNA (1415 nucleotides) under Lactobacillus sp. RNAcentral describes it as "bacterial SSU rRNA". It matches the Rfam family "Bacterial small subunit ribosomal RNA". The record is from RNAcentral. Lineage: Bacteria; Bacillati; Bacillota; Bacilli; Lactobacillales; Lactobacillaceae.